RNAcentral lists this ribosomal RNA (254 nucleotides) under uncultured bacterium. RNAcentral describes it as "partial 16S ribosomal RNA". It matches the Rfam family "Bacterial small subunit ribosomal RNA", at positions 524 to 776 of the family's 1533-position model. The record is from RNAcentral.
UACGUAGGUGGCAAGCGUUUGUCCGGAUUUAUUGGGUUUAAAGGGUGCGUAGGCGGUCUAUUAAGUCAGUGCUGAAAUAUCCCGGCUUAACCGGGAGGGUGGCAUUGAUACUGAUGGACUUGAGUGCAGUCGAGGUAGGCGGAAUUGACGGUGUAGCGGUGAAAUGCUUAGAUAUCGUCAAGAACACCGAUAGUGAAGACAGCUUACUAGACUGUAACUGACGCUGAGGCACGAAAGUGUGGGGAUCAAACAGG